ACGGAGAAGGCUAUGUCAGCCGGGCGACGGUUGUCCCGGUUUAAGCAUGUAGGCGGAGGUUCCAGGUAAAUCCGGUACCUUAUUAACGCUGAGGUGUGAUGACGAGGCACUACGGUGCUGAAGUGAUAAAUGCCCUGCUUCCAGGAAAAGCCUCUAAGCAUCAGGUAACACGAAAUCGUACCCCAAACCGACACAGGUGGUCAGGUAGAGAAUACCAAGGCGCUUGAGAGAACUCGGGUGAAGGAACUAGGCAAAAUGGUGCCGUAACUUCGGGAGAAGGCACGCUGAUGUGUAGGUGAAGUCCCUGCGGACGGAGCUGAAAUCAGUCGAAGAUACCAGCUGGCUGCAACUGUUUAUUAAAAACACAGCACUGUGCAAACACGAAAGUGGACGUAUACGGUGUGACGCCUGCCCGGUGCCGGAAGGUUAAUUGAUGGGGUUAGCUGUAAGGCGAAGCUCUUGAUCGAAGCCCCGGUAAACGGCGGCCGUAACUAUAACGGUCCUAAGGUAGCGAAAUUCCUUGUCGGGUAAGUUCCGACCUGCACGAAUGGCGUAAUGAUGGCCAGGCUGUCUCCACCCGAGACUCAGUGAAAUUGAACUCGCUGUGAAGAUGCAGUGUACCCGCGGCAAGACGGAAAGACCCCGUGAACCUUUACUAUAGCUUGACACUGAACACUGGUCCUUGAUGUGUAGGAUAGGUGGGAGGCUUUGAAGCGUGGACGCCAGUCUGCGUGGAGCCGUCCUUGAAAUACCACCCUUUAAUGGCUGGUGUUCUAACGUAGACCCGUAAUCCGGGUUGCGGACAGUGUCUGGUGGGUAGUUUGACUGGGGCGGUCUCCUCCCAAAGAGUAACGGAGGAGCACGAAGGUUGGCUAAUCCUGGUCGGACAUCAGGAGGUUAGUGCAAUGGCAUAAGCCAGCUUGACUGCGAGCGUGACGGCGCGAGCAGGUGCGAAAGCAGGUCAUAGUGAUCCGGUGGUUCUGAAUGGAAGGGCCAUCGCUCAACGGAUAAAAGGUACUCCGGGGAUAACAGGCUGAUACCGCCCAAGAGUUCAUAUCGACGGCGGUGUUUGGC
Molecule: ribosomal RNA, 1074 nt
Filed under: Enterobacter cloacae subsp. cloacae
Lineage: Bacteria; Pseudomonadati; Pseudomonadota; Gammaproteobacteria; Enterobacterales; Enterobacteriaceae
Description: bacterial LSU rRNA
Rfam family: Bacterial large subunit ribosomal RNA
Source: RNAcentral